CGGAAAGCGCUCCAUCGCGAUCCAGGCCAGUUCGAUUCCCGACAUCUCGCCAUGAAGAUCAGCGUCGGUGAACAUCAGCGUCAGAUCCCCGCCGGCUUGUUCAAGCACGGCAGCGGCGGGCCCCCCGCCCCNNNNNNNNNNNNCGUUGAGAUCGCUUUCCUCGAAAAUCAGGCUGACGAGUUCCCGCUGGAGCUGAUCGUCUUCGACAACCAGCACAGUCUGUUUCAGAGCGUGUCCCAUGAGCCCUCCCUUUUCAAUGAAGAAACCGGCUACGAAGAAAGGCAAUGCAUAAAGGCGGGAGAAGUUCGCCUGGUGCUGAGGAACCAAAUUAGCAGUGUCACGUUUUCAUCCGCGAAACGAGCUACACCAUUGAGGUACAUCGUGAAGCAAUCCGUCGACCACGUGACGAAGGCGUUCGCACAAAAGCACAGGAAAAUGACGCCGGAUCAGGAGCGCCGCGUUCGCGACGAGGUU
Molecule: unclassified non-coding RNA, 474 nt
Filed under: Hevea brasiliensis (rubber tree)
Lineage: Eukaryota; Viridiplantae; Streptophyta; Magnoliopsida; Malpighiales; Euphorbiaceae
Source: RNAcentral